UGGGGAAUUUUGCGCAAUGGACGAAAGUCUGACGCAGCAACGCCGCGUGGGUGAUGAAGGUCUUCGGAUCGUAAAACCCUGUCGUCAGGGACGAAGGUUGUGUGUUUAAGAGAUGCGCAACUUGACGGUACCUGGAGAGGAAGCCCCGGCUAACUCUGUGCCAGCAGCCGCGGUAAUACAGAGGGGGCAAGCGUUAUUCGGAAUUAUUGGGCGUAAAGGGCGCGUAGGCGGUGGUUUAAGUGAGAUGUGCAAUCCCCGGGCUCAACCUGGGAACUGCAUCUCAGACUGGAUCGCUAGAGUGCUGGAGAGGGUGGUGGAAUUCCACGUGUAGCGGUGAAAUGCGUAGAGAUGUGGAGGAACACCAGUGGCGAAGGCGGCCACCUGGACAGUAACUGACGCU
Molecule: ribosomal RNA, 400 nt
Filed under: uncultured bacterium
Lineage: Bacteria
Description: bacterial SSU rRNA
Rfam family: Bacterial small subunit ribosomal RNA
Source: RNAcentral